AAAAAUAUUUUGAACAGCAAACAAAAAAAAAAAAACUUAUUAAAAUAUUUAAAAAGAAAAAAAUUGGAAUUUCAAUUCCUUUGACAUUUUCCAAUCUAUUGAUGCUGAAAAUUGUAUUCAAAGAUUCCUGCCAUGGCGUGUUUCCCAAUAAAGGAUUAUAACUGGAAAAAGGUCACAGCUUGUUUGAAAAGGGUAAAAAAUGCCAAACUCUUCUCUCUCUGGGGUGUCCGACCGAGCCAACCCAAAGCGGACAAAGAAACGGCAGAAAAUAUCAUAAAUGUGUUCAAUUUUGAAGGUAAUAACAUGGGAUUAUCAGCAUCAAAUAAGUGAGUAAUUUGGAUUUUCAUGGAAACGAAAUUUGAAGUUGAAUACUUAAACAUCAAUUCAUGGCAAUUCAAACAAUGAAAAUGCAGCCAAAAUUUUUAACAAAAUUAUCUCAAGAUUUGUAUGCAGAGUUUACAAUGGGCCUUCUCUAGCAGAUGAUUGGGAAUACAGUACCACGCUUUUCUACAUUUGCUCUACGUUCAUAAUCAUCUGUGUUUUUAUUGAAAUUAUAAAGAAAUUAAAUUUUGUAACACAGUGUAAUUA
Molecule: long non-coding RNA, 588 nt
Organism: Musca domestica (house fly)
Lineage: Eukaryota; Metazoa; Arthropoda; Insecta; Diptera; Muscidae
Exons: 3
Source: RefSeq, a predicted model, not a curated record